UCCCCCGUCGCGCCGCCGCCGCCGCCCGGCUCCAACCCUCAUCGCGCCGCCGCCGCCCGUAUCCCUCCCCCCACAACGCGCCGCCUCCGCCCGUCUCCCUCCGCCAGCGCGCGGCUGCCGUCCGUCUCCCAUUUCCUAGCGCUCAGCACGGUCGGGUCGCGACCUCCGCCUCCAGCGCCGACCCGCUCCUCCCCGUGCGCCAGCCACCUUCCCCUCCUUUGCCACGGCCGCCUUCCUCCCCCGCCGCCACGCCCCCAGCCACCUCCUUCCCUCUCCACCACGCGCCGGCGACGAGCCCGUCCCCCAGCGUCCCCAACCUCCUAUCCCCGCUGCAGUACGAGCUGCAUCAGCAGGGAAGGCCGCUGCUUCAGCAGUAGCAGCGCACCGCUGCGACGCUACAAGGGGAGGCAGAGGUGGGGUGAGGCACUACGACGGUCGCAUUCCGGGGAAGGCUGUCAAAGCUUAAGAAAGCAGAAAAACAGUGAGCCUAGGAGGGGAGUCGCUGGAUCGAGGACCUCUAGCUCGAUAGUCCAACUACAUGCUCCACCGUUGGUCGCUCAAGGAGCUGCGUGCAGGCCACCCCCGAGCUCCGCCCCUGGAUCCGGGUCAACUUUCUCCCUACCAUCUAGGUAAGCUAGCCAGCGACUGAGAGUUAGAGUCAUUCGUCCCCCUGUGUGUGUUUGUGACAGAGAAUUAGGCAUGCUAACAUUAUCAUGUAGUAGCAGCUGGGGGAUGCUUAGUUCAGUUCAAAAACAUUAUCAUGCGAUCAUGGAUGAGAGUGAGAGUCAUCAUGCAUCCAAUUUCUUUUGUUCAAUUCAAAUACUAAAAAAAAGUUCAGUUCAAUUCUUGAUGUCGUCUUCCUGGUUACUUCAAACGUAUUCCUUUCUUUAAUAGUUCUUGCACUUUCCUCCAUUUUCAUGUGACACUUGUUAGAUUGCUCUCAGUAUUUGAUGUAUUUCAUGCAACACUUAUUUGAUUGCUCAAGAGAAGUGUUAUUUAUUAGUGAAUUUUCUUUUAGUGUAGAAGUUCAAUAUGUAUUUAUAUCAACAGUCCGUAAUGAAGUGCAGAAACAGUACAAUCUAUGUGUUAAAACAUAAUAGAUCAGUUCAAUUUAUUAUUUAUGUUCAGUACAAAUCUCAUUCAAGUUCUGUAGUUCAAAACUCAGUAAUGUGGUUCUAUGUAGAAAAAUACUUUUGCCCUGGUGCACUAUUAUGUUUGCAGAAAAAAUUAAGUUCUAUUGUCUGGAGAAUUCAGUCUGGAAUCAUGGAAAAAAGAGCAUGUGUUGAACUAGCUUUUUAUAGUUUGUCCCAAUCUAUUUAAUUUGGCAUCGGUAAAAGAAGAUGCCAUGUCUACAUUGUUGUGUUUGGAGCUGCUCCGCUAUAUUCCUUUAUUGGUUCUACAAGAUAAUUGCUCUAGAUUUCUUUUUCUAAUAUAAUGUUAAAAGUCCACUUGAUGAAAAUUUCUCUAUGUUAGCUAGAUCAGUACUGCUCAGCAGUACGACAAGUAGCAGUACUGAUCAGUACAACUUACACAAUAUUAGUACCGGUCAAUACUAUUCUUAAAUGUUAAAUGUAACAUCCAUAUAGUACUGAUGAGUCGUACUGACAAGGAUGCCGUCUACAGUUCUGAACUUAUUGUUGAGUGGUACAAGUACUGAUGAAAUGGGAAGCAAGUGUCACAUGAAUCCUUAAUUGAAUAGGAAGCAAGGUGACCCUGGAAAAACACUAUUUAUUUUAUUCCCGGUUAUUAGAAAAGCAUGGAAACAAUUCUCUCUGUGUUAGAGUAUCAGUUCAUGUGGAGAAGAACAUGUUUCCUAUAUGGACAACUAAUAUAUUAUUAUCGGUUCAAUGUGUAUUUUUUCAUUAGUUCAUACAGAACAACCAUAAAAAAUAUUUUGAUGUGUGUUAGAGAGAGCUCGACUUUAUAUUAUAUGGUAGCUCACUCAUUGCACAAUUGCACAGCAGUUUGGCAAGAAAAUUCACAUCAGUUCAGGGACGCCCGCAUCACGGCCUCACUGUGCCACCGCAAUCUCUCCUUGAAACGCCACCGGACGAGCCCCUCCUCACACUUUGCAAGCUGUCACUUCUUGGUCCUGUGCCUGGAUCCUGUGUGAGGACUGCUUAGAUCUUGGUUGGGCGAAGGCCAUGUAGGUUGCAAAUUGCUCUUCUGGUGGAAUUAGUUAUGUUGGGGGUGUGGCUAGGCCGACCGCUUCAGAUUUGUUUUGUGUUAGCUAGAUUCUAAGCUAGAACGGUCUGAUUUAAGCAAUUGGAAUUUGAAUAAUCAAGUUGCCAUCUGCCCUACUGUCACAAAGAAUCUAUUUCUUACCAAUGAUGUACUUCUUUUGCAGUUGUCGUUGUAGUUGUACAAUAGUUCCGUCUCAUAGUGCUCUUAGUUGUGCACUUAAAUGAUCCCACAAUAUGGCAUUAUCUUUGAGAACAGGGUUCAUCAAUAGUUCAGAGUUGUGAAUAGGAGGGUGUGCCUGUACCUGGUGGGAUUGCUUAUGAUUCUGAUGUGCUUACCGGUUUGGCCUAUUUGUAGUUGUGUAGUUUGCAAUUUGUUUUUCUGGUGGCAGCCAGCCACCAUGGUUGAUGGCAGCCGUCCAAGUUGAGCACUGAUGGUAGUCCUCUGUGUGCGUUAAUGGCACUCUCUCACAGCAAUCUCUCUCUCUUUCUUUGCUCCUGCCAUUAAAAUGCAUAGAUGUGGUAUUCUGCUAACUGAGUAGCUGGGAAGAUGUGAAAAGAACAUGCUCUUUAGGUGUUUGUGUGCGUCAAUUGGAAUUAAAAUGCAUAAAUGUUGUUUUCAUACUUUCAACAAAAAAUAUCUAUAAGUUCAAAAUGUAUAACCCUAUAAGUUCAUUGAAAAACAGAAAAAAAAAAAAAGUGCAUGAGCAAGUAGUCGCCUCGCACUGGAUCGAUGCUCCGUUGUCACUCCCCCGCCGCAUAUAAGCAGUUCAACGCUGCAAUCCCCGGCCGUUCAGUCUCGCUGCCGUGGGCGUGCCCCGCUCCAACUCCAUCGCAUGUGCUUCAGUGGAGAAAUAGUGCAACCUGAGGAACCGCUAGGGGUCGAGGACGUCCAGCUUGGCAGUCCAAUUUGGCGUUAUUCACGUCAUUGCUAGCCCCAUGUUCGCUGGCAAGACCACCGCGCUUCUCGCCGGCACCGACAGGAUUUUGCAGGGUCUUUGGGUUAGAAGUGGUUAAUUUGUUAGCCCCUGGAGCUUGUCGGCGAGCCAUGUGCUGGGCCAACCACAAGGCAACGCCACCAGGUAGGGCGCCAGACGGCUGCCGAGCGUGGCAUGAGCCUUUCCGACCCCAUUUCCAGGUUAAGCGCCAAAGAUCUCAUCGUCGGGUGCGCAAAAGCACUAGCACCUCUGCUUCCAUUUUUCUUCAAAAGUUAUGCUAACCAAUUAGCCACUGAUAAGAUGACUUUACUUCCAACUAGCCACUCAAAAGUUGUGGCCAUUUAAUGACACCUUCUACAUUUGAGACAUGUGAAACUGUAACCUUCCAAUGUUACCGUUUGGUAGCUCGGGAUGCUUUAUGUUUUGGAGAUCUACAGAGUGACUAUCUGAGAGUGUGUUAGACUUUCUCAUUACAGCAUGGAACUUUAUUUUUAAUGUUUGUUCCUCAUCAGUUCUAAAAAUCUCAGAGCAUCCGUCCAACUAUGUAUCAGGAUAUACUAUGUUGUAAAUUUAUGUAUGCUUGUAUGUGCAAAAAUAUAUUACGGUUGCUGCUUC
This is a non-coding RNA of Aegilops tauschii subsp. strangulata, 3733 nucleotides long. The record is from RefSeq and is a predicted model, not a curated record. Lineage: Eukaryota; Viridiplantae; Streptophyta; Magnoliopsida; Poales; Poaceae.